RNAcentral lists this ribosomal RNA (394 nucleotides) under uncultured bacterium. Its description in RNAcentral is "partial 16S ribosomal RNA". It matches the Rfam family "Bacterial small subunit ribosomal RNA", at positions 523 to 918 of the family's 1533-position model. The record is from RNAcentral.
AUACGUAGGGGGCUAGCGUUAUCCGGAAUUACUGGGCGUAAAGGGUGCGUAGGUGGUUUCUUAAGUCAGAAGUGAAAGGCUACGGCUCAACCGUAGUAAGCUUUUGAAACUAAGAGACUUGAGUGCAGGAGAGGAGAGUAGAAUUCCUAGUGUAGCGGUGAAAUGCGUAGAUAUUAGGAGGAAUACCAGUUGCGAAGGCGGCUCGCUGGACUGUAACUGACACUGAGGCACGAAAGCGUGGGGAGCAAACAGGAUUAGAUCCCCUGGUAGUCCACGCCGUAAACGAUGAGUACUAGCUGUCGGGGGUUACCCCCCUCGGUGGCGCAGCUAACGCAUUAAGUACUCCGCCUGGGAAGUACGCUCGCAAGAGUGAAACUCAAAGGAAUUGACGGGG